RNAcentral lists this ribosomal RNA (1249 nucleotides) under Tylopilus sp. 1C7. Its description in RNAcentral is "eukaryotic LSU rRNA". The stretch from base 618 to 1249 matches the Rfam family "Eukaryotic large subunit ribosomal RNA", at positions 1 to 626 of the family's 3401-position model. Lineage: Eukaryota; Fungi; Basidiomycota; Agaricomycetes; Boletales; Boletaceae. The record is from RNAcentral.
GGAUCAUUAUCGAACCCUCAUACCACACACACACACACACUUGUGCACACGUUUGUUUGUAGGUCCUCGAGAGAGGCAUCUAUGUACAUAUAUAUCUUCACCAUCCCAACCAACGUAUGUCUAGAAUGUCAAUGAAUAAUUUUUACAACUUUCAGCAAUGGAUCUCUUGGCUCUCGCAUCGAUGAAGAACGCAGCGAAUCGCGAUAAGUAAUGUGAAUUGCAGAUUUUCAGUGAAUCAUCGAAUCUUUGAACGCACCUUGCGCUCCUUGGUAUUCCGAGGAGCAUGCCUGUUUGAGUGUCAUUUCAAUUUCAUCAACCAUGCCUCGAUCGACUUCGAGAACAUGGCUUGGAUUUGGGGGCUUGCUGGCGUCGUCGUCAGCUCUCCUGAAAUGCAUUAGCGAUAGUCGAGCAAUGGGUCCCUACAUGCACGGCCUUUCUUUCGACGUGAUAACGAUCGUCGUGAAGGGGGGGGGGGCUGGAGUGUUUGGAUCACAAAUUUUCGCUUCCAAUCCCCUGGUCGUGUGUCGUGUUGUCGUUGUCGUUGUUGUUGUUGUGUUUACAACUCGUCGUGAUCACGCACGCACGCGCGCACACACACACACACGCCUUCGAACCAUUGACCUCAAAUCAGGUAGGACUACCCGCCGAACUUAAGCAUAUCAAUAAGCGGAGGAAAAGAAACUAACAAGGAUUCCCCUAGUAACUGCGAGUGAAGCGGGAAAAGCUCAAAUUUUGAAUCUGGCGGUCCUCGAGGCCGUCCGAGUUGUAAUCUAGAGAAGUGUCUUCCAGUGCCAUGCCGUGUACAAGUCUCCUGGAAGGGAGCAUCAUAGAGGGUGAGAAUCCCGUCUGUCGACACGGAACGUUGCGUACUUUGCGAUGCACUCUCGACGAGUCGAGUUGUUUGGGAAUGCAGCUCUAAACGGGUGGUAAAUUCCAUCUAAAGCUAAAUACGGGCGAGAGACCGAUAGCGAACAAGUACCGUGAGGGAAAGAUGAAAAGGACUUUGAAAAGAGAGUUAAACAGUACGUGAAAUUGCUGAAAGGGAAACGCUUGAUGUCAGUCGCGUCGGUCGGGAAUCAACCUUGCUCCUUUGCGUGCUUGGUGGACUUUCCGGUCGACGGGUCAGCAUCAGUUUCGAUCCCGUCGUACAAAGGCGAGAGUGAAUGUGGCACGCUUAGGUGUGUGUUUAUAGCCUCUCCGUCUCAUGCGGCGGUCGGGACUGAGGAACUCAGCAUGUGCGUGCGCAUGC